GUGCUUGUUGGGACAUCACAGACACUAAAAUCGGAAUGACACAAGGAAGAUGGCAUGGCCCCCAGGGGUGACACUCAAAUUGGUGAAGUAGUUCACAUUUUU
This is a small nuclear RNA of Nycticebus coucang (slow loris), 102 nucleotides long. NCBI's taxonomy places the organism in Eukaryota, Metazoa, Chordata, Mammalia, Primates, Lorisidae. The record is from RefSeq and is a predicted model, not a curated record.